CUUUGUACAUUUUCUUUAAAGUCAUAUUCUUUCUCUAAAACUUCAGCCCUAACUUUCUCUGCCUUCUCUUUAGCAAAUCUUGAAAUUUGAUCGGUGCAUUGUCAUUUAGGUGGUGAUUCUGCGUUCACGGAGUCGAGAGCUUCGACUUGAACCGAUCGGUUUCGCGUUCUAUAGCGGAUCCUGUUUGGUUCUCCGCUGUGUGGGGUCCUGUUUAAAGUAUUCUAGCAAGUUGUACUGCUCAACUUCUAGUUAUCGUGCCCACGGUAAACGCUGGGUAGCCAAGUGCGGAGCGGAUAACUGCUGAAAGCAUCUAAGUAGGAAACCCACCCCAAGAUGAGUGCUCUCCUAUUCCGACUUCCCCAGAGCCUCCGGUAGCACAGCCGAGACAGCGAUGGGUUCUCUGCCCCAGCGGGGAUGGAGCGAAAGAAGUUUUGAGAAUUCAAGAGAAGGUCACGGCGAGACGAGCUGUUUCUAAUUAAUGAUAGGUGUCAAGUGGAAGUGCAGUGAUGUAUGCAGCUGAGGCAUCCUAACAGACCGUUAGACUUGAACCUUGUUCCUACAUGAUCCGAUCAAUUCGAUCAGGCACUAGUCAUCCAUUUUCAUUGUUCAACUCUUUGACAACAUGAAAAAACCCAAAACGUUGAACUGGUACAUGUGGCAAUUAUGUUUGUAAGUGUCUCUGUUGAAAUUAAUCUGUUUUGGUUGAAAUUGUUCUGGUUAGAGGGUUUGGAGCAAGGGCUCUGUGAUAGCAUGUAUAUGGGCAGGUACUGUUUAAGGUUACUGUGAGGGGAAGGGUGAUAUAUAUAAUUGGGUAUUUGAUGUCUAGAACACUGUAGGACAGUUUUAAUAACUUAGAUAAUUAAAUCAUAACUUGUUAAAAGCCUUUCUUUGUUGGUAGGAUAGAGGGGACUUAAAAACCUGAGUUGGCACAUCCCUGAUCAUAGAGCAGCCCUGGCCUGGUCCAGUACGUUGUGACUAGUCAUAUGUGCUAGCGCCGAAGGUGAGUCUGAUGCGUUCAGACAUCUGAACCCUCUCCGAUGACCAAUUGGGG
Molecule: small RNA, 1051 nt
Filed under: Vigna angularis var. angularis
Lineage: Eukaryota; Viridiplantae; Streptophyta; Magnoliopsida; Fabales; Fabaceae
Description: Non-protein coding transcript
Rfam family: Bacterial large subunit ribosomal RNA (bases 194-539)
Source: RNAcentral